GUUUUUUUUUUAUUAUCUUUUCCAGGCAAUACCAAGCUCGCACCAGAGGUCUCAAUGCGUACGACCGGCGCUGGAAGUUGGUCGAUGAUUUACGUUACUUUCUAUGGCAAAGAAAGAUCAGCACUAGCAAAUUUGCCAGUUAAAACUGAUCAAGACACUUUACGAGAAGGCUACAGCAAGCAUCUCUGGCGGUUGGCCCACGUUCGCGAGAGAAACUUGUCUGCAUCAAGAUGUCUGCGCGUUUGAACUUUUUGGUAGGGGCGAUGUUGUGUUCAUAGUCUCCAUCUUCAGCAAUGCCGGUAGCGAUAAGAACCUCAUUUAGGUCGAUUGAGAUGAACCUUACAAGAGUCGCUUGAGGCUAUAUAUCAGUAAAUUCGUGUCUCCUUUAUCAGCUGCGAUGAGUCAAUUGAAAGUGCACUUACUUUUGGCUUUUCUUCUCUUUUCUGAAUUAGUUACAAUCUCAUCAGAAUUAUCCUUAUUACACAUAUAUUAUAUGAGGACUUGUUUUGUUCUGGAGCUGUCUAUUUGGAUCGAGAUUUGUCUUCUUAUCCUCGGUGAAAGCACCAAAGUUACAUUGGAUGAUGAUAUGCUACUGUGCCCUUGGUAUGCUUACAGGCGGCAAUAUAGGGAAGAGAUAUGCCAGAAUCGAUGAGCUUGGCGUGCCCCUUUCAAUCACUGUCCUUUCAAGUGCUGCUGAUGCUGAUGCCACCAUUCGAGAAAGGGACAGCAGAGAGGGAGUUCAGGUUAAUAUGGGUAUAGUGGCUUCCGUUGUGAAGGCUUUGAUUGACGGGUCGAGGACCUGGUCCGACGUAAGGUCAAGUUUCCCACAUCGUGAAUAGUUUAGUUGCUGAUAUCAUUGUUUACUUAACUUUACAUCAGUUAGGAUCAAACAUUUUUGUCACAAUUUUGGGGGACAUCCGAGGUAGCAAACAAAUGGUGUACUUUUGAUACGUCUUUUGCUGGCUAAACAUGCUGUUCAUGUCUUUUUCGUGUGGUAACCCGGAGAUAAAAACAAAUAGGAAGUUGCAGAUC
Molecule: RNA transcript, 1032 nt
Organism: Syzygium oleosum
Lineage: Eukaryota; Viridiplantae; Streptophyta; Magnoliopsida; Myrtales; Myrtaceae
Exons: 3
Source: RefSeq, a predicted model, not a curated record